RNAcentral lists this ribosomal RNA (460 nucleotides) under uncultured bacterium. RNAcentral's name for it is "partial 16S ribosomal RNA". It matches the Rfam family "Bacterial small subunit ribosomal RNA", at positions 338 to 795 of the family's 1533-position model. The record is from RNAcentral.
CCUACGGGAGGCAGCAGUGAGGAAUAUUGGUCAAUGGACGAGAGUCUGAACCAGCCAAGCCGCGUGAAGGAUGACUGCCCUAUGGGUUGUAAACUUCUUUUAUAAAGGAAUAAAACGAGGCACGUGUGCCUUUUUGCAUGUACUUUAUGUAUAAGGAUCGGCUAACUCCGUGCCAGCAGCCGCGGUAAUACGGAGGAUCCGAGCGUUAUCCGGAUUUAUUGGGUUUAAAGGGAGCGUAGAUGGGUUGUUAAGUCAGUUGUGAAAGUUUGCGGCUCAACCGUAAAAUUGCAAUUGAUACUGGCAGUCGUGAGUACAGUUGAGGUAGGCGGAAUUCGUGGUGGAGCGGUGAAAUGCUUAGAUAUCACGAAGAACCCCGAUUGCGAAGGCAGCUUACUAGACUGUGACUGACAUUGAUGCUCGAAAGUGUGGGUAUCAAACAGGAUUAGAUACCCCAGUAGUC